AAAUUAUGGUGAGGACACCUUCUCAAAAGUUCUCCAAAUCGUUCUCAUCAUUCAAAUAGGGUUUCUAACUCAUACUACUAAAAAUUAAAAAUUUCUACCAUAAGCUU
Molecule: small nucleolar RNA, 107 nt
Organism: Abrus precatorius (Indian licorice)
Lineage: Eukaryota; Viridiplantae; Streptophyta; Magnoliopsida; Fabales; Fabaceae
Source: RefSeq, a predicted model, not a curated record